GUUGGAACUUUUUUUUUUUUGUCUGAUCUAUCUCUCUCACGAUGGCAAGUUCUUCUGACUUUGCUCGAAGAGAUCGGCCAAGUGAAGAAGAAGAAGAGAGAGAUUUUGUGAAGAAGAUAUCGAAGCUAUCUAUUAAGGUUCAUUGGCUUGAGGAUUCUUCGUUCUUCUUUCGAUCAUGUAAUUUUCGUGGCUAACGAGAUAUGGAUUUGGCUUCCCGUUAUAAGGUAUGUUAAUAUAUUCCUGGUGAAACCUGAAGCUUUACUGCUGCACUUGUUGAUGGUGUUAACAAGAAGGGGAAAUAUGCCAAAUUCAACAAUUGACUCGAGGAAAAGCUGAUGACCUCGGUCCUCCUCUCCAUUGUGGUCCUACUGGUCAUCUGAUUUCCAGAGUCUGCAAUAAUAAGCAGCAAAGAGGCUUAUUGGUGGCACUGGUGAACUGAAGAGCAAACUGCAAGAUUUUCGUAACGACCCCUCUAUAUUAUGUUGGCUUGAAGAUGCUGCGUAUUUUGCUGCUAUUGACAAUACUUUAAAUGCAUACAGUUGGUUUGAGUGGCCUGAACCACUUAAAAACCGUCAUCUUUCAGCCUUGGAAGCUAUAUAUGAAAGUCAAAAGGAGUUUAUAGACUUGUUCAUAGCUAAAAAAAUUGUUUUCCAAACGCAGUAGACUUUGCUGCAGAUAGACUUGUUCAUAGCUAAACAAUUUUUUUUCCGAAGGCAGUAGACUUUGCUGUAGAUAGACUUGUUCAUAGCUAAACAAUUUUUUUUCCAAAGGCAGUAAACUUUGCUGCAGAAUUGAUCAUUUUAGAGGAUUUGCAGGGUUUUGGGCGCACUUGUUACCUGUUGUUGUUACCUGGUUCCUCCUCCUUCAUUUGAGAUGUUGAUGCGUCUUACAUUCCCCGCUUCAUUCGCAAGAGUAAAGAAAGGUUUGAGGCAAUAUAUCCCUUGUUGAAAGAAGUGGCUCUUGCUGGUGCACCAGGAAGCAAGGCAAUGAAACAAGUCACACAACAAUAUUUCCCUUAUUAAUGUUUUUAUUAUGUUUUGUAUGUUUGAAAAUUAAUUAAAAUGCAAUAUUUUCUAAUUUUAUAAAAUCUUAAAUGUUUACACAUUUGUACCACUUCUAUUCUAUUUAAAACUAGGAGAGUUACCCGCACGCUUGUGCGGGCAAGAACUGAAUAGAAAAAAAAAUUAAUUUAAUUCUUCAUAAUGUUGAAUCAAAUUUUUAUUAUA
Camelina sativa (false flax) is the source of this 1226-nucleotide non-coding RNA. The record is from RefSeq and is a predicted model, not a curated record. NCBI's taxonomy places the organism in Eukaryota, Viridiplantae, Streptophyta, Magnoliopsida, Brassicales, Brassicaceae.